This is a long non-coding RNA of Hevea brasiliensis (rubber tree), 289 nucleotides long. RefSeq lists it as uncharacterized. The record is from RefSeq and is a predicted model, not a curated record. Lineage: Eukaryota; Viridiplantae; Streptophyta; Magnoliopsida; Malpighiales; Euphorbiaceae. The transcript is spliced from 2 exons.
CCGGCAGCCCGUCUCAGAAUGUGGUCAAUAUUACAGUCAAUCCUAGCAUUUUCAGACAUUCUGGACGUAUUCCAGGUGUUAGAAUUGGCAUAGGCUACAGGAUGAGACAUUUUUCAGAAUAACCUGUCCCUUUCCUCUCAGGUUAUGAAAAGAUUAUUUAAUUGUAUUAUUAUUCUCCAAAUUGUAAUUUAGGACUCCGCAUGUGCUAGUAGUAGCAUUAAGCCUGUCAGGGACUGCAUGAAUUUAAGUUUUCGUAUUAAUAAAUGAAAUUUUUUUUUUGAGUUUUAAA